GCCUUUGUAGCAAAACGGUAAUGCAGAGGACCUAAGCUCCUCCACAAGGAGUUCGACUCUUCUCCAAGGCU
Molecule: transfer RNA, 71 nt
Filed under: Holothuria fuscogilva
Lineage: Eukaryota; Metazoa; Echinodermata; Holothuroidea; Aspidochirotida; Holothuriidae
Description: tRNA-Leu
Rfam family: tRNA
About the family: Transfer RNA (tRNA) molecules are approximately 80 nucleotides in length. Their secondary structure includes four short double-helical elements and three loops (D, anti-codon, and T loops).
Source: RNAcentral